AUUGAACGCUGGCGGCAGGCCUAACACAUGCAAGUCGAACGAGUGGCGGACGGGUGAGUACUGUCUGGGAAACUGCCCGAUGGAGGGGGAUAACUACUGGAAACGGUAGCUAAUACCGCAUACCAUCGGAUGUGCCCAGAUGGGAUUAGCUUGUAGGUGAGGUAACGGCUCACCUAGGCGACGAUCCCUAGCUGGUCUGAGAGGAUGACCAGCCACACGGGGACUAGGACAAGGUCGAUAACGCGACGGGAAGCAGCAGUGGGGAAUAUUGCACAAUGGGCUCAAGCCUGAAGCAGCCAUGCGGCGUGUAUGAAGAAGGCCUUCUGGUUUUAAAUUACUUUCAGCGGGGAGGCGUUACCCGCAGAAGAAGCACCGGCUAACUCCGUCCAAGCAGCCGCGGUAAUAC
This 406-nucleotide ribosomal RNA is filed under the name uncultured bacterium. Its description in RNAcentral is "partial 16S ribosomal RNA". It matches the Rfam family "Bacterial small subunit ribosomal RNA", at positions 30 to 526 of the family's 1533-position model. The record is from RNAcentral.